RNAcentral lists this ribosomal RNA (2301 nucleotides) under Staphylococcus aureus. RNAcentral's name for it is "partial 23S ribosomal RNA". It matches the Rfam family "Bacterial large subunit ribosomal RNA", at positions 12 to 2311 of the family's 2925-position model. Lineage: Bacteria; Bacillati; Bacillota; Bacilli; Caryophanales; Staphylococcaceae. The record is from RNAcentral.
UAAGGGCGCACGGUGGAUGCCUUGGCACUAGAAGCCGAUGAAGGACGUUACUAACGACGAUAUGCUUUGGGGAGCUGUAAGUAAGCUUUGAUCCAGAGAUUUCCGAAUGGGGAAACCCAGCAUGAGUUAUGUCAUGUUAUCGAUAUGUGAAUACAUAGCAUAUCAGAAGGCACACCCGGAGAACUGAAACAUCUUAGUACCCGGAGGAAGAGAAAGAAAAUUCGAUUCCCUUAGUAGCGGCGAGCGAAACGGGAAGAGCCCAAACCAACAAGCUUGCUUGUUGGGGUUGUAGGACACUCUAUACGGAGUUACAAAGGACGACAUUAGACGAAUCAUCUGGAAAGAUGAAUCAAAGAAGGUAAUAAUCCUGUAGUCGAAAAUGUUGUCUCUCUUGAGUGGAUCCUGAGUACGACGGAGCACGUGAAAUUCCGUCGGAAUCUGGGAGGACCAUCUCCUAAGGCUAAAUACUCUCUAGUGACCGAUAGUGAACCAGUACCGUGAGGGAAAGGUGAAAAGCACCCCGGAAGGGGAGUGAAAUAGAACCUGAAACCGUGUGCUUACAAGUAGUCAGAGCCCGUUAAUGGGUGAUGGCGUGCCUUUUGUAGAAUGAACCGGCGAGUUACGAUUUGAUGCAAGGUUAAGCAGUAAAUGUGGAGCCGUAGCGAAAGCGAGUCUGAAUAGGGCGUUUAGUAUUUGGUCGUAGACCCGAAACCAGGUGAUCUACCCUUGGUCAGGUUGAAGUUCAGGUAACACUGAAUGGAGGACCGAACCGACUUACGUUGAAAAGUGAGCGGAUGAACUGAGGGUAGCGGAGAAAUUCCAAUCGAACCUGGAGAUAGCUGGUUCUCUCCGAAAUAGCUUUAGGGCUAGCCUCAAGUGAUGAUUAUUGGAGGUAGAGCACUGUUUGGACGAGGGGCCCCUCUCGGGUUACCGAAUUCAGACAAACUCCGAAUGCCAAUUAAUUUAACUUGGGAGUCAGAACAUGGGUGAUAAGGUCCGUGUUCGAAAGGGAAACAGCCCAGACCACCAGCUAAGGUCCCAAAAUAUAUGUUAAGUGGAAAAGGAUGUGGCGUUGCCCAGACAACUAGGAUGUUGGCUUAGAAGCAGCCAUCAUUUAAAGAGUGCGUAAUAGCUCACUAGUCGAGUGACACUGCGCCGAAAAUGUACCGGGGCUAAACAUAUUACCGAAGCUGUGGAUUGUCCUUUGGACAAUGGUAGGAGAGCGUUCUAAGGGCGUUGAAGCAUGAUCGUAAGGACAUGUGGAGCGCUUAGAAGUGAGAAUGUCGGUGUGAGUAGCGAAAGACGGGUGAGAAUCCCGUCCACCGAUUGACUAAGGUUUCCAGAGGAAGGCUCGUCCGCUCUGGGUUAGUCGGGUCCUAAGCUGAGGCCGACAGGCGUAGGCGAUGGAUAACAGGUUGAUAUUCCUGUACCACCUAUAAUCGUUUUAAUCGAUGGGGGGACGCAGUAGGAUAGGCGAAGCGUGCGAUUGGAUUGCACGUCUAAGCAGUAAGGCUGAGUAUUAGGCAAAUCCGGUACUCGUUAAGGCUGAGCUGUGAUGGGGAGGAGACAUUGUGUCUUCGAGUCGUUGAUUUCACACUGCCGAGAAAAGCCUCUAGAUAGAAAAUAGGUGCCCGUACCGCAAACCGACACAGGUAGUCAAGAUGAGAAUUCUAAGGUGAGCGAGCGAACUCUCGUUAAGGAACUCGGCAAAAUGACCCCGUAACUUCGGGAGAAGGGGUGCUCUUUAGGGUUAACGCCCAGAAGAGCCGCAGUGAAUAGGCCCAAGCGACUGUUUAUCAAAAACACAGGUCUCUGCUAAACCGUAAGGUGAUGUAUAGGGGCUGACGCCUGCCCGGUGCUGGAAGGUUAAGAGGAGUGGUUAGCUUCUGCGAAGCUACGAAUCGAAGCCCCAGUAAACGGCGGCCGUAACUAUAACGGUCCUAAGGUAGCGAAAUUCCUUGUCGGGUAAGUUCCGACCCGCACGAAAGGCGUAACGAUUUGGGCACUGUCUCAACGAGAGACUCGGUGAAAUCAUAGUACCUGUGAAGAUGCAGGUUACCCGCGACAGGACGGAAAGACCCCGUGGAGCUUUACUGUAGCCUGAUAUUGAAAUUCGGCACAGCUUGUACAGGAUAGGUAGGAGCCUUUGAAACGUGAGCGCUAGCUUACGUGGAGGCGCUGGUGGGAUACUACCCUAGCUGUGUUGGCUUUCUAACCCGCACCACUUAUCGUGGUGGGAGACAGUGUCAGGCGGGCAGUUUGACUGGGGCGGUCGCCUCCUAAAAGGUAACGGAGGCGCUC